This 443-nucleotide ribosomal RNA is filed under the name uncultured bacterium. RNAcentral's name for it is "partial 16S ribosomal RNA". It matches the Rfam family "Bacterial small subunit ribosomal RNA", at positions 338 to 795 of the family's 1533-position model. The record is from RNAcentral.
CCUACGGGAGGCAGCAGUGGGGAAUCUUGGGCAAUGGGCGCAAGCCUGACCCAGCAACGCCGCGUGAAGGAAGAAGGCCUUCGGGUUGUAAACUUCUUUUCUCAGGGACGAAGAAAGUGACGGUACCUGAGGAAUAAGCCACGGAUAACUACGUGACAGCAGCCGCGGUACUACGUAGGUGGCAAGCGUUAUCCGGAUUUACUGGGUGUAAAGUGCGUGUAGGCGGGAAAGCAAGUCAGAUGUGAAAACCAUGGGCUAAACCUGUGGCCUGCAUUUGAAACUGUUUUGCUUGAGUACUGGAGAGGCAGACGGAAUUCCUAGUGUAGCGGUGAAAUGCGUAGAUAUUAGGAGGAACACCAGUGGCGAAGGCGGUCUGCUGGACAGCAACUGACGCUGAGGCGCGAAAGCGUGGGGAGCAAACAGGAUUAGAUACCCUUGUAGUC